AGAUUGAACGCUGGCGGCAUGCCUUACACAUGCAAGUCGAACGGCAGCACGGGAGCAAUCCUGGUGGCGAGUGGCGAACGGGUGAGUAAUAUAUCGGAACGUGCCCAGUCGUGGGGGAUAACGCAGCGAAAGCUGUGCUAAUACCGCAUACGAUCUAUGGAUGAAAGCGGGGGAUCGCAAGACCUCGCGCGAUUGGAGCGGCCGAUAUCAGAUUAGGUAGUUGGUGGGGUAAAGGCCCACCAAGCCGACGAUCUGUAGCUGGUCUGAGAGGACGACCAGCCACACUGGAACUGAGACACGGUCCAGACUCCUACGGGAGCAGCAGUGGGAAUUUGGACAAUGGGCGCAAGCCUGAUCCAGCAAUGCCGCGUGCUAGGAUGGAACGCCUUCGGGUUGUAAACUGUACGUUUUGAACGGUAACGUAACGGUUCUUUACUAAUACAGAGAGUACUAA
This 454-nucleotide ribosomal RNA is filed under the name uncultured soil bacterium. RNAcentral's name for it is "bacterial SSU rRNA". It matches the Rfam family "Bacterial small subunit ribosomal RNA", at positions 26 to 485 of the family's 1533-position model. The record is from RNAcentral.